AAUAGAUACCCGGGUAGUCCAUGCCGUAAACGUUGGGCACUAGGUGUGGGGGACAUUCCACGUUUUCCGCGCCGUAGCUAACGCAUUAAGUGCCCCGCCUGGGGAGUACGGCCGCAAGGCUAAAACUCAAAGGAAUUGACGGGGGCCCGCACAAGCGGCGGAGCAUGCUGAUUAAUUCGAUGCAACGCGAAGAACCUUACCAAGGCUUGACAUGCACCGGACGGCUGCAGAGAUGUGGCUUUCUUUGGACUGGUGCACAGGUGGUGCAUGGUUGUCGUCAGCUCGUGCCGUGAGAUGUUGGGUUAAGUCCCGCAACGAGCGCAACCCUCGUUCUAUGUUGCCAGCACGUGAUGGUGGGGACUCAUAGGAGACUGCCGGGGUCAACUCGGAGGAAGGUGGGGACGACGUCAAAUCAUCAUGCCCCUUAUGUCUUGGGCUUCAAGCAUGCUACAAUGGUCGGUACAAUGGGUUGCGAAACUGUGAGGUGGAGCGAAUCCCAAAAAGCCGGCCUCAGUUCGGAUUGGGGU
Molecule: ribosomal RNA, 527 nt
Filed under: uncultured bacterium
Lineage: Bacteria
Description: bacterial SSU rRNA
Rfam family: Bacterial small subunit ribosomal RNA
Source: RNAcentral